CGGGGUGCACCAGGCGCGAAACCUUCACAAUGCGCGAAAGCGUGAUGAGGUUAAUCCGAGUGGUCCCCGCUGAGGGGAUCUUUUGUUGGCUCUAAAACGGUCAGUGAAUAAGGGGAGGGCAAGUCUGGUGUCAGCCGCCGCGGUAAUACCAGCUCCUCGAGUGGUCGGGGCGAUUAUUGGGCCUAAAGCAUCCGUAGCCUGUUCUGUAGGUCCUCUGUUAAAUCCAACGGCUUAACCGUUGGCCUGCAGAGGAUACCGCAGGACUAGGAGGCGGGAGAGGUGGACGGUACUCUACGUGUAGGGGUAAAAUCCUUUGAUCCGUAGAAGACCACCAGUGGCGAAGGCGGUCCACCAGAACGCGCUCGACGGUGAGGGAUGAAAGCUGGGGGAGCGAACCGGAUUAGAUACCCGGGUAGUCCCAGCUGUAAACGAUGCGAGCUAGAUGAUCCGGUCGCAAAUCGCGAUCGGAGUGUCGCAGGGAAGCCGUUAAGCUCGCCGCCUGGGGAGUACGGUCGCAAGACUGAAACUUAAAGGAAUUGGCGGGGGAGCAC
This 551-nucleotide ribosomal RNA is filed under the name uncultured crenarchaeote. RNAcentral describes it as "bacterial SSU rRNA". It matches the Rfam family "Archaeal small subunit ribosomal RNA", at positions 326 to 879 of the family's 1478-position model. Lineage: Archaea; Thermoproteati; Thermoproteota. The record is from RNAcentral.